This 840-nucleotide ribosomal RNA is filed under the name Staphylococcus sp. EA_L_3. Its description in RNAcentral is "bacterial SSU rRNA". It matches the Rfam family "Bacterial small subunit ribosomal RNA", at positions 31 to 855 of the family's 1533-position model. Lineage: Bacteria; Bacillati; Bacillota; Bacilli; Caryophanales; Staphylococcaceae. The record is from RNAcentral.
GUGGUCUGGCGGCGUGCUAUACAUGCAAGUCGAGCGAACAGACGAGGAGCUUGCUCCUCUGACGUUAGCGGCGGACGGGUGAGUAACACGUGGAUAACCUACCUAUAAGACUGGGAUAACUUCGGGAAACCGGAGCUAAUACCGGAUAAUAUAUUGAACCGCAUGGUUCAAUAGUGAAAGACGGUUUUGCUGUCACUUAUAGAUGGAUCCGCGCCGCAUUAGCUAGUUGGUAAGGUAACGGCUUACCAAGGCAACGAUGCGUAGCCGACCUGAGAGGGUGAUCGGCCACACUGGAACUGAGACACGGUCCAGACUCCUACGGGAGGCAGCAGUAGGGAAUCUUCCGCAAUGGGCGAAAGCCUGACGGAGCAACGCCGCGUGAGUGAUGAAGGUCUUCGGAUCGUAAAACUCUGUUAUUAGGGAAGAACAAAUGUGUAAGUAACUAUGCACGUCUUGACGGUACCUAAUCAGAAAGCCACGGCUAACUACGUGCCAGCAGCCGCGGUAAUACGUAGGUGGCAAGCGUUAUCCGGAAUUAUUGGGCGUAAAGCGCGCGUAGGCGGUUUUUUAAGUCUGAUGUGAAAGCCCACGGCUCAACCGUGGAGGGUCAUUGGAAACUGGAAAACUUGAGUGCAGAAGAGGAAAGUGGAAUUCCAUGUGUAGCGGUGAAAUGCGCAGAGAUAUGGAGGAACACCAGUGGCGAAGGCGACUUUCUGGUCUGUAACUGACGCUGAUGUGCGAAAGCGUGGGGAUCAAACAGGAUUAGAUACCCUGGGAGUCCACGCCGUAACGAUGAGUGCUAAGUGUUAGGGGGUUUCCGCCCUUUAGUGUUGCAGCUAA